Molecule: long non-coding RNA, 782 nt
Organism: Cryptotermes secundus
Lineage: Eukaryota; Metazoa; Arthropoda; Insecta; Blattodea; Kalotermitidae
Exons: 2
Source: RefSeq, a predicted model, not a curated record
CCGUACCAACGACUGAGAAUGGUAGUCAAUGCUAGUUACCCAAGUUACAGUUGACGUAGCAUAAGUUCCAAUGGUAAGGAAGGCAUAAAACCAACAUCUAUACACAACACAUUAAUAUUUUUUAUCUACCGUAAAACUCUGGGGCGGAGCGUAACAUAGGAAAUAAGAUACAGGCAACCUUUCUCUCACAGAUGCAGACUGGUUGACUCGUGUUGCAAGGAACAAACAUUCGAAAUGGAAUGUGUUUUGUAAUGGAAGUGAUACUCCUUUGGACCUUUAAGAGGUGAGUUCAGAGACAUCUAAUUAUGUCAAAAAGGCAGAUGGACUGAAUGUGCACUUGGCAAGAUAUCAAGGAAUGCUCAGAAUUAUGGUCAGAUAAUUUUAUUAAACAAAAUAAUGAUUCUUCUCUCCUACGAGAACAUAUUGUUACAUGUAUUGCACAUUAACAAAAAAAAAAACUAUAUUAAUACCUAAGUAUAGUGCAACCUCAAUAAUCAAAACUAAUUAAAGCACUGGUGUUUGGACUAUCAAAACAUUCAGAUUACUCAAACUGGAAUAAAAACUCAAAAUUUUUAGUAAAAUUAUUUAUUCAAAAGACUUGCAGUUACCUUUCAUAUAUAAAAAACUAGCACCUGCACACAUUUCACUACACACUGGGCUCCACGCCAGCAGUGACUGGUUUACAUCAUUCAUCACCUACAGAAUGAAGUUCACUGGCAAGUAACACCAUGUUUUACAAGAAUUAAUUUUUACUGCACAGAAGUAAAAUAUAUUGUGACAUG